Non-coding RNA from Danio rerio (zebrafish), 1536 nucleotides. Lineage: Eukaryota; Metazoa; Chordata; Actinopteri; Cypriniformes; Danionidae. The record is from RefSeq and is a predicted model, not a curated record.
AACUUUUAAAACCAUUUUGAGGUGUCUUCACAGUGUUAGCUGGAGCAUCGGCCUUUUAUUUUCACACAUUAUGUGAGACUAGAAGAGAGAUCACACCAAAGAAGAGGGCUGGUCCAGACUCGACAUAACCAAAACCACUUCCUUUUCACUCAUAUCACCCGUUUUCUGUGGAGAUCGCACAGCAUUAUUCUGGACUUGCAAAUUUGAAACAACAAACAUGAGGUUUGCUUUGUUUCUGAAUGGACUCCUGCUGCUCUUUCUGCUUCCCGACCGGACAGAAAGUGUUGAAUCCCUGGACAUCACAACUCUUGCUCGCAUUAUCAACUUCUUCGAACAGAACUAUAAGAGAGUGGAUGCAGAUGGCCAUGACGUGAAAACGUGAAAAACGUGAAAAACGUGAAAAACGCUAUAACGGAUGAAACAAAUGCACUUUACCAGGGUGCAGAGCUCAUCGCUGCAGGAACUAAGAAAGUUGUGAUCAGUAAAAAGAAGCAAUACAACAGGCAUUCAGAGUCUCUCCUGCUCAAUCCUGCCGGCAAUUCUCUAAUGACCCGACUUCUGAAUAAAAGAAAAGAUGGCUGCUCGGUUUUCUACACGUUUGAGUCCCCAUGUGUGGACACAUGUCUGAAUCCAGAUAGCAACCACAAUAUUCUUGAAGGCCUGAGGAACUGGAAGGAACACGGUGGGAUUAAAGCUUUUGCUUUCAAGAAUUUCUGGAAGUUUGACAUUGGAAAAGAUCUUCAGAGUGAAUUCAAGAAGAUUGCGGCUAUUGUUCCUCUGUACCGCUGUGUGAGUGAGAAUGUGUGUUAUGCUUGUAAAGGGGAAGGAAACACUGCCAUUGACCCACGCUGUCUGCCUUAAGAAAACAUCUAUAUUCAUGCACAUGCAAUGUAGUUUUAAAACCUAUUAUCAUCUUUCAUUUUGAAAUAUAGUCAGCUUAGAUAAAAAAUGUGUUUGCUUCCUGUUUAAACAAAUAAAGUACUUCUGCUUGCUACUUUGUGUUUGGACUUCAUUUGGACUUCAAUGGAUUUCACUUGUGGGAAAAUGAAUGCCCAAAGUGUACUACAGUAUAAAGUCCACGUUACAGUUUGCGUAACAUGAAUUUUACUGUUUGCAUAAACUGUACACUGUAAAAAAAAAAAUCAGUAAAUGAACAGUUUUCAAAGCUUGACAAAACUAUUCAAAACUGUUUCAGAGAUCCAAACACCAAAUCAUUGAACACCUGCUGGUCAAAACUGUGUGAAUGUAACAAAAACAUUUAAACAUCCAUUAAAAGCUGAUUUUCCUUUACAGAUCCGCCACUAACUUAUACAUGUGUGGGUUUUCAUAUACUUGUUUAUGUUUACGUCCCAUUAAAAAUAAGCUCAUGCAGCUGGCAAGGUGAAAGAAGACAGUCACAGCGGGUGCUGGACUGCUGAUGUGAGCCAGAGCUUAUGAGGACAUGAGAAACAUGUUCAUCUUUUAAAGUGCCACUAUUAUGCUUUUUGUGGUUUGUGGUUUUGGAACCACUUGAGGGAGAUUAAAUAGUGAUUUUAA